AACGAACGCUGGCGGCAGGCCUAACACAUGCAAGUCGAGCGCCCCGCAAGGGGAGCGGCGGACGGGUGAGUAACGCGUGGGAACGUACCCUUUGCUACGGAAUAGCCUCGGGAAACUGGGAGUAAUACCGUAUGUGCCCUUCGGGGGAAAGAUUUAUCGGCAAAGGAUCGGCCCGCGUUGGAUUAGGUAGUUGGUGGGGUAAUGGCCUACCAAGCCGACGAUCCAUAGCUGGUUUGAGGGGAUGAUCAGCCACACUGGGACUGAGACACGGCCCAGACUCCUACGGGAGGCAGCAGUGGGGAAUCUUAGACAAUGGGCGCAAGCCUGAUCUAGCCAUGCCGCGUGAGCGAUGAAGGCCUUAGGGUUGUAAAGCUCUUUCAGUGGGGAAGAUAAUGACUGUACCCAGAAGGAAGCACGGGCUAAGUUCGUGCCAGCAGCCGCGGUAAU
Molecule: ribosomal RNA, 447 nt
Filed under: uncultured bacterium
Lineage: Bacteria
Description: bacterial SSU rRNA
Rfam family: Bacterial small subunit ribosomal RNA
Source: RNAcentral